AUUUUCCCAAACCCGGGGAUGCGGUGAAGUGCUUCUUCUGCAUGAUUUUGGCUGAAGAAUGCUCUGCAUUUCCUUGAUUUCUAUGGAGACCUCAGAGCUGGUUUUGCUUCUGCUGACACCUCAUCUAGCACCUUCUCUACCUCCCAGGGUCUUUGCCUCUAUCUGUGGUUUGGCAUUGUACCUGGGUACAGGAAGCCUUUGAUGAACUUAAAAGGAGAGCCUGGAGAAUCAUCCUGAUAGACUUUGAGUAGAAAUGGCUGGACAUACUUCAAACCACAUCUUAACAUGGUUCGAGCCAUCACUAGAAGGCAAGUGCUAACAGUAAAGGCUUAUUUGCAUUUUAUUUACAUUUAAUGGACUGAGCAUUGGCCAAUUUCCAUGGCAGAAAAAUAUAUUUCAUUUUCUAGGCACAACUUCUGGCUGUCAGACACUUGCUGCCUUUGAAUCUUGCAGCAACAUCACUAACCACAUCCCAGACAUAUUUCCAAAUUUCAACAUCUACCCCCAAAACAUAGGUGUCUGAGAGACUCCAGCAUUUUCGGACU
Molecule: long non-coding RNA, 545 nt
Filed under: Homo sapiens (human)
Lineage: Eukaryota; Metazoa; Chordata; Mammalia; Primates; Hominidae
Description: non-protein coding lnc-MPPED2-4:1
Source: RNAcentral